AAGGGAGACCUAAUUCGGGUAGAAGACGAAAAAAUAGUAGUCGAAACCAAGAAUCAAUCCCAAAAGGUCGGAACGAGGUAUGUGGCUUUCAAACUAGGUUCUGGGUUCAUAAAAGACCUGAAUCAGGAACAAGGGCUAUUAGCUCAGGUGGUUAGAGCGCACCCCUGAUAAGGGUGAGGUCCCUGGUUCGAGUCCAGGAUGGCCCACCUGUACAGGUGGCAAAAACAAAGAAAAGAAGCGAGGAAUCAGCACCUUAUCUUACUUAUAUAGUAAGAGAGAAUGCCGGCUCUGAGUUCAGAGUCCAGAGGAACCUUGAAAACUGCAUAGAGCUAGGUGAAAAAGCCAAAAAAGAAGACCACAA
This 361-nucleotide transfer RNA is filed under the name uncultured Microcystis sp. RNAcentral describes it as "partial miscellaneous RNA". The stretch from base 133 to 206 matches the Rfam family "tRNA". The record is from RNAcentral. Lineage: Bacteria; Bacillati; Cyanobacteriota; Cyanophyceae; Chroococcales; Microcystaceae.